UACGUAGGGGGCUAGCGUUGUCCGGAUUUACUGGGCGUAAAGAGCGCGCAGGCGGCUGGUCAAGUCCGAUGUGAAAGCUCCCGGCUUAACUGGGAAAUUGCAUCGGAAACUGAUCGGCUGGAAGGUGGGAGAGGGUAGUGGAAUUCCCGGUGUAGUGGUGAAAUGCGUAGAUAUCGGGAGGAACACCAGUGGCGAAGGCGACUACCUGGCCUGUUCUUGACGCUGAGGCGCGAAAGCUAGGGGAGCAAACGGG
RNAcentral lists this ribosomal RNA (253 nucleotides) under uncultured bacterium. RNAcentral describes it as "partial 16S ribosomal RNA". It matches the Rfam family "Bacterial small subunit ribosomal RNA", at positions 524 to 776 of the family's 1533-position model. The record is from RNAcentral.